CUUGAUUAGUAGUGAAAUCAAAGAUCAAAUCUCAAUUUAUCUAGAUUAAACUUUUACAGAGGUCUGGAUGUGCAGACCCUCUACUUCGCAUGCAUGUCAGACGUCACAAGAAAGCGAGAUGAACUCCAAUCCAAUUGUCUUCGCAAGCCAACCAAAUAAGAGAGGAGAUAUACUGGUGUGACAUCUCACACUAGUAGAUAGGAUGCCCAAGAAUGAUCCACACCCA
This 226-nucleotide long non-coding RNA is filed under the name Elaeis guineensis (African oil palm). RNAcentral's name for it is "long non-coding RNA (EGUI_LNC072781)". Lineage: Eukaryota; Viridiplantae; Streptophyta; Magnoliopsida; Arecales; Arecaceae. The record is from RNAcentral.